GAUGAAGAACGUAGCGAAAUGCGAUAAGUAAUGUGAAUUGCAGAAUUCAGUGAAUCAUCGAAUCUUUGAACGCAUCUUGCGCUCCUUGGUAUUCUGAGGAGCAUGCCUGUUUGAGUGUCAUUAAAUUCUCAACUACACUGACUUUGAAUUGGUGUGGCUUGGAUUUGGGGGGAAAAUUGUUGUGGGCUUUUUGUAUAGUCUGCUCCCCUGAAAUUGAUUAGCGGUACCUUUGUGGAACUGUCUACAGGUGUGAUAAUUAUCUACAUCUUAGACAUCUGCUGGAAUGCUGCUUUCUAAACCUUACUUGUAUUGACAAUCUUGACCUCAAAUCAGGUAGGACUACUCGCUGAACUUAAGCAUAUCAAUAAGCGGAGGA
This 376-nucleotide unclassified non-coding RNA is filed under the name soil metagenome. Its description in RNAcentral is "partial contains 5.8S ribosomal RNA, internal transcribed spacer 2, and large subunit ribosomal RNA". The stretch from base 1 to 120 matches the Rfam family "5.8S ribosomal RNA", at positions 35 to 154 of the family's 154-position model. The record is from RNAcentral.